This 515-nucleotide ribosomal RNA is filed under the name uncultured bacterium. Its description in RNAcentral is "bacterial SSU rRNA". It matches the Rfam family "Bacterial small subunit ribosomal RNA", at positions 32 to 518 of the family's 1533-position model. The record is from RNAcentral.
AAUGCUGGCGGCGUGCCUAAUACAUGCAAGUCGAGCGGUAACAGGGCUUCACCGUUCCUUCGUACACACCUAGCGCAUUAUCGUAGGUUGGUUAGAUUCGAGGGAACGAGUGAAGCUGCUGAUGAGCGGGCGGACGGCUGAGUAACGCGUGGAACGGACCCCAAAGUGAGGGAUAACUAGUCGAAAGAUUAGCUAAUACCGCAUGUGAUCUUCGGAUUAAAGCUUUUUGCGCUUUGGGACUGGCCUGCGUACGAUUAGAUAGUUGGUGAGGUAAUGGCUCACCAAGUCGACGAUCGUUAGAUGGUUUGAGAAGAUGAUCAUCCAGACUGGGACUGAGACACGGCCCAGACUCCUACGGGAGGCAGCAGUAGGGAAUCUUUCACAAUGGGCGAAAGCCUGAAUGGAGCAACGCCGCGUGCAGGAUGAUGGCCUUCGGGUUGUAAACUGCUUUUAUAACCGAGAAAUAUGAUGGUAAGUUAUGAAUAAGGACCGGCUAACUACGUGCCAGCCGCGGC